AAUAAGCGCAACCAUGAGUUUUAUGUCUAACUUUGAUCGUCCGUUUUAUUUUAAAUUUUUUAUGAUUAGUAUUUUUAUUAGAUUAUAAAACACGAAUAGUAUUUUAUGUGUGACUUAUGUUCUUUAGUUUUUUCAAAAUUUUUUUAAAUAAAACGGAUGAUUAAAGUUGGACUCGGAAAUUCAUGGCUACGCUUAUU
Molecule: non-coding RNA, 197 nt
Organism: Oryza glumipatula
Lineage: Eukaryota; Viridiplantae; Streptophyta; Magnoliopsida; Poales; Poaceae
Source: Rfam